GAGUGCGGAAUGCUUGGAAACUGGCACGUUCCGUGUGGAGCAGGGGAAAAGCAGGAGAUAACCCUAAACGCUUAUCAAUUGCUAA
This 85-nucleotide non-coding RNA is filed under the name Saliterribacillus persicus. The record is from RNAcentral. Lineage: Bacteria; Bacillati; Bacillota; Bacilli; Caryophanales; Bacillaceae.